CCUACGGGUGGCAGCAGUAGGGAAUAUUCCACAAUGGGCGAAAGCCUGACGCAGCGACGCCGCGUGAGGGAUGAAGGUCUUCGGAUCGUAAACCUCUGUCAGCAGGGAAGAACGGUCGCUAUACUAAUCAACUGUGGAUUGACGGUACCUUCAAAGGAAGCGACGGCUAACUCCGUGCCAGCAGCCGCGGUAAUACGAAGGUUGCAAGCGUUAAUCGGAAUUACUGGGCGUAAAGCGGUCGUAGGCGGUAUGUCAAGUCAAGGGUGAAAUCCCCGGGCUCAACGUGGGAACGGCCUUGGAAACUGGCAAACUUGAGUGUGAGAGAGGUUAGUGGAAUUCCAGGUGGAGCAGUGAAAUGCGUAGAUAUAUGGAGGAACACCAGUGGCGAAGGCGACUAUCUGGUACAUAACUGACGCUGAGGAGCGAAAGCGUGGGUAGCAAACAGGAUUAGAUACCCCGGUAGUC
This 465-nucleotide ribosomal RNA is filed under the name uncultured bacterium. RNAcentral's name for it is "partial 16S ribosomal RNA". It matches the Rfam family "Bacterial small subunit ribosomal RNA", at positions 338 to 795 of the family's 1533-position model. The record is from RNAcentral.